AUGAUGAACGCUAGCUACAGGCUUAACACAUGCAAGUCGAGGGGCAGCAUUUUAGUUUGCUUGCAAACUGAAGAUGGCGACCGGCGCACGGGUGAGUAACACGUAUCCAACCUGCCGAUAACUCCGGAAUAGCCUUUCGAAAGAAAGAUUAAUACCGGAUAGCAUACGAAUAUCGCAUGAUAUUUUUAUUAAAGAAUUUCGGUUAUCGAUGGGGAUGCGUUCCAUUAGUUUGUUGGCGGGGUAACGGCCCACCAAGACUACGAUGGAUAGGGGUUCUGAGAGGAAGGUCCCCCACAUUGGAACUGAGACACGGUCCAAACUCCUACGGGAGGCAGCAGUGAGGAAUAUUGGUCAAUGGGCGAGAGCCUGAACCAGCCAAGUAGCGUGAAGGAUGAAGGCUCUAUGGGUCGUAAACUUCUUUUAUAUGGGAAUAAAGUUUUCCACGUGUGGAAUUUUGUAUGUACCAUAUGAAUAAGGAUCGGCUAACUCCGUGCCAGCAGCCGCGGUAAUACGGAGGAUCCGAGCGUUAUCCGGAUUUAUUGGGUUUAAAGGGAGCGUAGGUGGAUUGUUAAGUCAGUUGUGAAAGUUUGCGGCUCAACCGUAAAAUUGCAGUUGAAACUGGCAGUCUUGAGUACAGUAGAGGUGGGCGGAAUUCGUGGUGUAGCGGUGAAAUGCUUAGAUAUCACGAAGAACUCCGAUUGCGAAGGCAGCUCACUAGACUGUCACUGACACUGAUGCUCGAAAGUGUGGGUAUCAAACAGGAUUAGAUACCCUGGUAGUCCACACAGUAAACGAUGAAUACUCGCUGUUUGCGAUAUACAGUAAGCGGCCAAGCGAAAGCAUUAAGUAUUCCACCUGGGGAGUACGCCGGCAACGGUGAAACUCAAAGGAAUUGACGGGGGCCCGCACAAGCGGAGGAACAUGUGGUUUAAUUCGAUGAUACGCGAGGAACCUUACCCGGGCUUAAAUUGCAACAGAAUAUAUUGGAAACAGUAUAGCCGUAAGGCUGUUGUGAAGGUGCUGCAUGGUUGUCGUCAGCUCGUGCCGUGAGGUGUCGGCUUAAGUGCCAUAACGAGCGCAACCCUUAUCUUUAGUUACUAACAGGUUAUGCUGAGGACUCUAGAGAGACUGCCGUCGUAAGAUGUGAGGAAGGUGGGGAUGACGUCAAAUCAGCACGGCCCUUACGUCCGGGGCUACACACGUGUUACAAUGGGGGGUACAGAAGGCGGCUACCUGGUGACAGGAUGCUAAUCCCAAAAACCUCUCUCAGUUCGGAUCGAAGUCUGCAACCCGACUUCGUGAAGCUGGAUUCGCUAGUAAUCGCGCAUCAGCCAUGGCGCGGUGAAUACGUUCCCGGGCCUUGUACACACCGCCCGUCAAGCCAUGAAAGCCGGGGGUACCUGAAGUCCGUAACCGCAAGGAGCGUCCUAGGGUAAAACUGGU
Molecule: ribosomal RNA, 1443 nt
Filed under: uncultured organism
Description: SSU rRNA
Rfam family: Bacterial small subunit ribosomal RNA
Source: RNAcentral